Molecule: ribosomal RNA, 1461 nt
Filed under: uncultured Chloroflexota bacterium
Lineage: Bacteria; Bacillati; Chloroflexota
Description: bacterial SSU rRNA
Rfam family: Bacterial small subunit ribosomal RNA
Source: RNAcentral
AGAUUAGAGUUUGAUCAUGGCUCAGGAUAAACGUUUGCGGUGCGCCUUAUGCAUGCAAGUUGUACGGGGUUAUGGUUUUCGGACUGUAACCUAGUGGCGAACGGCUGAGUAACACGUAAGUAACCUACCUCCAAGUGGGGGAUAACCUGUCGAAAGACAGACUAAUACCGCGUGUGGUAAUCAAGGAUUGCUUGGUUAUCAAAGCCUUAGGGCGCUUGGAGAAGGGCUUGCGUUUGAUUAGCUAGUUGGAAGGGUAAUGGCUUACCAAGGCAAUGAUCAGUAGCUGGUUUGAGAGGAUGUCCAGCCAGAUGGGGACUGAGAUACGGCCCUAACUCCUAUGGGAGGCAGCAGCAAGGAAUAUUGGGCAAUGGGCGAAAGCCUGACCCAGCGACACCGCGUGAGGGAAGAAGGCCUUCGGGUUGUAAACCUCUUUUCUCGAGGAAGAAUCUUGACGGUACUCGAGGAAUAAGUCUCGGCUAACUACGUGCCAGCAGCCGCGGUAAUACGUAGGAGGCGAACGUUAUUCGGAUUUACUGGGCGUAAAGAGAGCGUAGGUGGUUUCUUAAGUCAGGUGUGAAAUCUUCUGGCUCAACCAGGAGACGUCAUCUGAUACUGUGGAGCUUGAGGGCAGCAGAAGGAAAUGGAAUUUCCAGUGUAGCGGUGAAAUGCGUUGAUAUUGGGAAGAACACCAGUGGCGAAGGCGAUUUCCUAGGUUGUUCSUGACACUGAGGCUCGAAAGCGUGGGGAGCGAAGCGGAUUAGAUACCCGCAUAGUCCACGCCGUAAACGGUGGACACUAGAUAUGGGAAGUAUCGACCCUUUCCGUGUCGAAGCUAACGCUUUAAGUGUCCCGCCUGGGGAGUACGGCCGCAAGGCUAAAACUCAAAGGAAUUGACGGGGGCCCGCACAGGCAGCGGAGCGUGUGGUUUAAUUCGAUGAUACACGAAGAACCUUACCAGGGCUUGACAUGUCAGAAGUAGGAGUCCGAAAGGAGGACCACCUGUAUCCAGUCAGGAACUGACACAGGUGCUGCAUGGCUGUCGUCAGCUCGUGCCGUGAGGUGUUGGGUUAAGUCCCACAACGAGCGCAACCCUUGUUCUAUGUUAAAUUCUCAUAGGAGACUGCCUUGUACAGCAAGGAGGAAGGUGAGGAUGACGUCAAGUCAGCAUGGCCUUUAUGCCCUGGGCUACACACACGCUACAAUGGGUGAUACAAAGGGUUGCCAAAGAGCGAUCUGGAGCUAAUCCCAAAAAAUCAUCCUCAGUUCGGAUUGCAGGCUGAAAUCGCCUGCGUGAAGCCGGAGCUGCCAGUAACCGCAAGUCAGCUAUACUGCGGUGAAUACGUUCUCGGGCCUUGUACACACCGCCCGUCACGCCAUGGGAGUCGGAAACGCCUGAAGUCGACGAGCUAACUUACUUUUAGUAAGAGGCAGUUGCCGAGGGCGGAGCUGAUAACUGUGACG